GUAAAUAAUUAAGGGCGUAUGGUGGAUGCCUAGGCUCUCAGAGGCGAAGAAGGACGUGAUAAGCUGCGAAAAGCUCCGUUUAGGUGCAAAUAACCUUUGAUGCGGAGAUCUCCGAAUGGGAUAACCCAAUAUGUUGAAGACAUAUUAUACCGUAAGGUAGGCAAACGCAGGGAACUGAAACAUCUAAGUACCUGCAGGAGAAGAAAACAAACGUGAUUCCCCCAGUAGCGGCGAGCGACCGGGGAAAAGCCCAAACCGUUAUUGUUUCGGCAUUAACGGGGUAGUAGGACUGCAAGCUUGAUGAAAUAAAUGAAAUGGAACACCUUGGAAAAUGUGAUCACAGAGGGUGAUAAUCCCGUACAUGCAAGUUUAUGAAUCAUAGCAGACUCCUGAGUAAGUCGGGACACGUGUAAUCCUGACCGAAUCCGCCGGGACCAUCCGGCAAGGCUAAAUACUCCUGAGAGACCGAUAGUGAACCAGUACCGUGAGGGAAAGGUGAAAAGCACUUCGAACAGAAGAGUGAAAUAGUCCCUGAACCCAUACGCCUACAAGCAGUCGGAGCCGCUUCGUGCGGUGACGGCGUGCCUUUUGCAUAAUGAGCCUACGAGUUACUCAUCACCAGCGAGGUUAAGUACUUCAGGUACGUAAGCCGAAGCGAAAGCGAGUCUGAAUAGGGCGUCAAGUUGGUGGUGGUAGACGCGAAACCUUAGUGAUCUACCCAUGGGCAGGGUGAAGGUUUGGUAACACAAACUGGAGGCCCGAACCGGUAAACGUUGAAAAGUUUUCGGAUGACCUGUGGGUAGGGGUGAAAGGCCAAUCAAACUGGGAAAUAGCUCGUACUCUCCGAAAUGCAUUUAGGUGCAGCCUCUGUUGUUUUGUUCUAGAGGUAGAGCUACUGAUUGGAUGCGAGGGCUUCACCGCCUAUCAAAUCCGGCCAAACUCCGAAUGCUAGAACAUGAAGACAGGGAGUGAGCCAGCGGGUGCUAAGGUCCGUUGACGAAAGAGGGAGAACUCAGACCAUCAGCUAAGGUCCCCAAUUGUAUGCUAAGUUGGAAUUAAAACGGGGUGGGACUGCUUAGACAGCUAGGAUGUUGGCUUGGAAGCAGCCAUUCAUUUAAAGAGUGCGUAACAGCUCACUAGUCGAGCGGUCCUGCAUGGAUAAUACGCGGGCAUAAGCAUAUAACCGAAGCUAUGGGAUUGUAGAUGAUACAAUCGGUAGGAGAGCAUUCCAUUCAGCGUAGAAGCAGUAUCGUGAGGUAUUGUGGAGCGGAUGGAAAAGCAAAUGUAGGCAUAAGUAACGAUAAUGCGGGUGAGAACCCCGCACGCCGAAAGAUCAAGGAUUCCCCGGCAAUGUCAAUCAUCCGGGGGUAAGUCGGAUCCUAAGGGUAAGCCGAGUGGCGAUCCCGAUGGCAAACAGGUUAAUAUUCCUGUACUGAUCAUAACUGCGAUGCAGCGACGCAGAGGUGACACUGCUGCGUACUGACGGAAUAGUACGUUGAAACCCGUAUUCUUUGAUACCGGUAGUGAAGCACGCCGGUAGAGAUGAAAGGUGAUAGUACCGCAAUGCUUCGGUUGCGCGGAUAAUGCAGGUAAGCUGACUGCCAAGAAAACCUGCUAAGCUUCAGGUAAUGAUCAUCCGUACUGUAAACGGACACACGUGAUCAGGUAGAAAAUACUAAGGCGCUCGAGAGAUUCAUGGUUAAGGAACUAGGCAAAAUGGUCCUGUAACUUCGGGAUAAAGGACGCUCUUGUGAAAGAGCCGCAGAUAAUAGGCCCAGGCGACUGUUUACCAAAAACACAUGGCUAUGCUAAUUCGCAAGAAGAUGUAUAUGGCCUGACACCUGCCCGGUGCCGGAAGGUUAAGAGGAGAGCUCAGAGGUAACUCGAAGGUUUGAAUUGAAGCCCCGGUAAACGGCGGCCGUAACUAUAACGGUCCUAAGGUAGCGAAAUUCCUUGUCGGGU
RNAcentral lists this ribosomal RNA (1962 nucleotides) under human gut metagenome. Its description in RNAcentral is "bacterial LSU rRNA". It matches the Rfam family "Bacterial large subunit ribosomal RNA", at positions 1 to 1977 of the family's 2925-position model. The record is from RNAcentral.